RNAcentral lists this long non-coding RNA (9378 nucleotides) under Zea mays. Its description in RNAcentral is "long non-coding RNA (ZMAY_LNC000200)". The record is from RNAcentral. Lineage: Eukaryota; Viridiplantae; Streptophyta; Magnoliopsida; Poales; Poaceae.
CAUAGCGGAAGACUUAUUACAAAAUAAAAGAUAAAUAUAAAACGAACUAAGGAUCAUCGGCGCCAAUGUCGACUGAGAAACGCCACCUAGAUCAAAUCGAACUCCUCGCUUUGUGGCUCCUCCUGAACCACCUGUUCUUCUCCUGUGGGGGGGUGUGAGACAGCAAGAGUGAGCUCACAUACGUUCAUAGCUCAAUAAGUCGUGGGGAAUAAUGUGGCACGAACUCACCAAAGGUGGGAGUUCAUGAAGUGUAAGGCUGAUCAAAGAAAUAAAGGUUGAGGCUGAGCAUUGCUUUUAUAAGUUGGUCAAAAUUUUAUUAGCAAUUACUAAGUGUAAGUAAAUACCAAACCUUAAUAAUAAUAAAGAAAAGUAAUAGUAAAAUAAUCCCAAAUGUGAUGCAAAUGUCAAAUUAAAUUUAAGUUCCAUAAUUAAUCAUGUGAGGGUCCGAGCCGCUCAUGACCGUGAGCACGGCUAGUAUACUAGUUUUACACUCUGCAGAGGUUGCACAUCUUUACCCACAAGUCAUGUUACCCAUCUGCCAAGAGAUGGCCAAUCCCAUACACCUCUACCGAGGAGGCGAGGCAGGGUAACACUACGAGGCCUUUACAAAGUUCCACUAGCUUCAGAAAUCCCGCUACAGUUUAUAGGAAGCUCCAAUGCAGGGUUCUUGCCUGACCGCCAUCGCAACAAAAUCAACCCAAGGACCUCCCUACACUGACCACUCCCCUACUGCCCUUGCCCCUUUCAGGUAAGGAAGACCUCCACUAGCUUUCCUAGUUAAUCAGCCAAGGGCGUCCCAUUAUACCCUUGUGGUAGCACUGUUUUCCCGGGUGGUCGCUCCAUGUUCCCAUUAACAUAAUGAUCUUAACAUGAACAGUAAUAAUAAAAGAGAAUAAAAGAGUAAUUAUGAAUAAAGUAUCUUCAUACCCAAAUCCACAUAAAGCAAUAGCAGGUACUACCCAAAGAAAUAUUUCAGUGGUAAACAAGGUAUAAAGAUAGCCAAAACUAGGGUAACCUAUUGGGUCCCAUCAAAAUUAUCCUAUGCAGAUCAUUAUAAUUAAUAAGAAUAUGGCUGCGAAAAAGUAAGUGAUCAAGGGCACAACUUGACUUCAAUGAGCUCCUGCUCAGCUACCUCUACUUGUUGAACCUCAGUUUCCACAUUGGCUUGCUCGUCUACUCGCAUCAACACAAUACAUACAUAGUAUAGCCAAAAUCAACAUCACACCAAACAGAUGAAUAAAAUAUACAGUAAAAAUCUAUACAUUAAAUGAAAUCAUAGGAACUGGAAUCACUAAAUUUGGAGUUAUAGAUUUCAAGUUAUGAAUUUCCUAAGGUUUAAUGUGAUUAAAAUAGGAUUAGAUGAGAAAUUAAUUUUCUUACUGUUUUCAUGUCAAAACAGAGACACUAAAUGAUAGAGAAUAAAAUUACAAAAUUUUAGGAACUGGAAUGGUUCAAUUUGGAGCUAAAAUGAAUUUUCUAUGCAUUUUACAAGUUCUAACAUUCAUUUGGGCAUUAAAACUAAUUUCUGAUAUAAAUUUCUGAUUUUUAAUACCCUCUGGAUUGGGCCACGUUUUCUGAAAAGUACAGGGGCGCCUAGGUAAAAAUCCCGAGUCACAGAGAACAGUAUAGGGUAGACUGCGGGUUGAAUAGUUAUUAAUCUAGGGUCUCUUUAGAAAUUAUGCCGCGCGAAGGGGUAUCUUGUGUUUUCAGCCGUCCGAUCUAGAGUCUAGGGUUUAGAUUUUAUGAAGCCUAACGCAUUAUGAACCGUUCGAUUAAACCUACGGCCCGGAUUGACUCAUCCAGGAGGUAUCCCCGAUUAGAUCUGCACCGCAUAUCAACGAUCUCACGAACAUCUUUCGCCCAACCCAUCUUCUAAUCUCGACCGGUCAUCUCAGCAUCUACGGCGACGACAUCGUCUUCCACCCAACAGCCCAGACGCCGUCUUCCUCCCUCGUGCUCGCACUCUACGGCGGCGGCCCAGCCGAUCCCCUACGGCUGAACACCAUAACCGAGCCAGCACGCAGUUCCGUGUUCGCCGUCCAAGCCCUAACUUCUACCCGGACGACCUCGUUCGAUACCCCGGUGUUCUGCGCGAUACUCGAGCGACCCACUACAAUCUAUACCCUGACGAUACCUUGUGCGAAAAUCAUAGCAGCAAGGAUAGCGGAAAAAGAACUCACCCCGCCGAGACAAGGUAGAGGCUGGGCGCAGGUGAUGCUUCACGAAAGAUCGCCACCGAGGACCCUCCUGCAUAGAUGGUUUCGCCCCGUCCGAAGAACUCCACCGGCAGUCUUCUAAUCCCGCGAGCAAUGGAGGCGCGCCCACGUUAGUCACCAGGGACCCAGCGACGGUAGUCCAAGCACCACACCGGUGGGUUCGGGACGUCGAUCUCGCCCACGCCGAGCGGAAUUUGAGAGGGGUUCGCAUGGUGUGAAUAGAGGGCACCGCAGAAGGGGCGAUUUCCAUCCAUUAAUAGGAGCCCGGGAGUCGCCAUGCACGCCCGGCAUGCAUGGCCGGGUUACGGAGUCCGUUGCGAGGUGGACGGAGUGCGUUGUUCGGGGAAGAUCCACAGCGCGAACUGACAGAAGGGACCGCGUGGUAGAGACUCAAGGAUGGGAGGGCGUGACUGCGCCAGAGCUGCCAAACCGGACCCGCUUGUAAGCCAAACAGAGCAGCGCGGGUGGUGUUAGUCUGGCGAGCAGGUCCCGCAUGGUCAGUGCCAUCUUCAGCCCUGGGCCGCACGGAGGAACAGGUUGGGCAGGGAGCUAGAUUCUUUUUUUUUCAAGCGCGGUUUGGUUCUGCUGGGCCAAAAGUGUAGUUCGAGGCCCACUUAGGUUUUCUUCUCCUUUUUCUUUUGCUUUUAUUAUUUUCUGUUUUCUUUUAUUCCUAAUUCAUUUGAACUUAAAUUUUGAACUCAACUUAAGUGUAAAUUCAAGUUCAUGUUGACUAUGCAAUUUGGUCACCCCAUCAUGUGGUGAAGUUAUUUAAUUAUAAUAUUAUUUAUAUUGAAUAAUAUUUCUUUCUCUUCUCUACUUUUAUGGUUUUGUUCUUCAAAUUAGAGGUUAAAUUCCAUGGGUCCAUUAACAUAUUGUUAAUGAUACACUUAUUUUAUUAUCCACAAAUGCACAAUCAAAUAAAACUCAACAUGAUGCAAGAUUUAUUUUGGUGUCUUUGGUUAUUUACUCCUUUUUGAUGAUAUUCAUUCACAUGUGAUAGUAAAUGGAUAUAACUCACACAUAUAGAUAAAGGAAUUAUUCUCUUAUCACAUGAUUUACAAAUUUGGGUGUUACAAAUCCUACCCCCCUUAAAAAUAAUCUCGUCCUCGAGAUUUAGGCAGAUCUAGGGAAAAGGUGGGGAAAAUCUAUGCGAAGCUCUUCUUCUCUUUCCCAAGUUGCUUCAUCUUCUCCGUGGUGACUCCAUUGAACUUUGCACAUCUUUAUAACCUUAUUCCUCGUGACUCGAGUCAAAGUAUCCAAAAUCUUGAUGGGGUACUCAGCAUAAGUUAGAUCCUCUUGAACACUAAGGUCCUCCAUUGGUAAUUGUUCUUCAGGCACCCUGAGACAUUUCUUCAGCUGAGAUACAUGAAAUACAUCAUGAACAUCCGCAAGAUGAUCCGAUAACUCCAAUUGAUAUGCCACCUCUCCCACUCGCUUUAAGAUUAAGAAGGGUCCAAUAAAGCGAGGGGACAACUUUCCUUUGACUUUAAAUCUUCUCAUACCCCGGAGUGGUGACACCUUCAAAUAGACAUAAUCUCCCUCCUUAAACUCAAGCAGUCUUCUCCGGGUGUCAGCAUAGCUUUUCUGCCUGGACUGUGCAGUUCUCAAAUUUUCCCUUAUUUGCUAGACUUGUUCUUCUGCUUCUUGUAUAAUCUCAGGCCCAAACAACUGCCUUUCACCAGUUUGAUCCCAAUACAGUGGGGUCCUGCACUUUCUGCCAUACAAAGCCUCAAACGGUGACAUCUUCAAACUGGCCUGAUAGCUAUUAUUGUAAGAGAACUCCGCAUACGGUAGACUCUUAUCCCAACUUCCACCAUGCUUAAGGGCACAAGCUCUUAACAUAUCUUCCAGUACUUGGUUGGUCCUCUCAGUCUGCCCAUGAGUCUGGGGAUGGUAAGCCGAACUAAAAUUCAAUUUCGUAUCCAAUGACUCGUGUAACUUCUUCCAAUACCGAGAGGUAAACUGUGAUCCCCGGUCUGAUACAAUCUUCUUUGGCACACCAUGCAGGCAGACAAUCCGUGCCAUGUACAACUCUGCCAACUUAGCUCCUGAAUAUGUGGUCUUCACUGGAUUAAAGUGGGCUACUUUAGUUAGCCUGUCCACAAUCACCCAUAUAGAAUCAUAUCCAGCAGACGUGCGGGGUAAUCCAACAAUGAAGUCCAUGCCAAUCUCUUCCCAUUUCCACUCAGGUAUUUUCAGUGGAUGCAGUAAUCCGGCUGGCCUCUGGUGUUCAGCCUUAACUCUUUGGCACACAUCGCACAUAGCCACAUGGGCAACCACAUCUCUCUUCAAUACAUACCACCAAUAUUUUUGCUUCAAAUCCUGAUACAUCUUGGUACUACCAGAAUGAAUAGAAUAAUCCAAGUCACGGGCUUCCUUUAAAAUAGUCUCACGAAGGCUUUCAAUAUCAGGAACACAUAUCCUGUCCUUGAACCAUAUGGUGCCUUGUUCAUCUUCCGUGAAUUCCGGACCUCGACCUUCAGUAAUCAGAUCCUUAAUCUCUUGUAUUUUAGCAUCACCAGUCUGUCCUUUGCGGAUUUCUUGCUCCAAAGUAGGUUCAACAUCAAUAAUAACUCCUUUAGUGUGAGCAACUAUCCCCAGGUUAAGUCUCCUAAAAUCCUCAACAAUCUCAUCGGGUAGCUGGGCAACAACAGCUGAAUGAACGUGCUCCUUUCGACUCAAGGCAUCUGCAACCAAAUUUGCCUUGCCCGGAUGAUAGUGAAUUUCCAAAUCAUAAUCCUUAAUAAGCUCCAACCAACGGCGUUGCCUAAGUUUGAGAUUCUUCUAAGUGAAUAUAUACUUCAAACUCUUAUGAUCCAUGUAUACUUGGCACUUAGUUCCCAUAAUAUAAUGUCUCCAAAUCUUAAGCGCAUGCACAACGGCUGCCAGUUGUAGGUCAUGAGUGGGGUAGUUCAACUCUUGUUUCCGUAACUGACGAGACGUGUAGGCAAUCACAUGUCCUUGCAUGAGCACACAUCCUAAGCCUUGGCCACAGGCAUCACAAUAAAUGUCAAAUCUCUUAUGUAGAUCUGGCAUAACCAACACUAGUGAUGACAUUAAUCUCAUCUUUAAUUGAUCAAAGCUAUCUUGACACUUCUUGUCCAACUUAAACUCUCUUCCCUUCUCCAUAAGUGAGGUCAUAGGCUUAGCAAUCUUAGAAAGUCCUUCAAUAAAUCUCCGAUAAUAUCCUGCAAGUCCCAAGAAACUCUGGACCUCAGUAACUAUAGUGGGUAUGCUCCACGCCACUAUCUCCUUGACUUUAGCAGGAUCCACUGAUAUUCCUCCAUUAGAAAUGACAUGUAAGGAAUGGUACCUCACCGAUCCAAAACUCGCAUUUACUGUACUUGGCAUAGAGUUGAUUAUCUCUUAGCUUUUGUAGCACCAAUCUCAGGUGUUCCUCAUGAUCACUUUCACUCUUAGAAUAGAUAAGACUAUCGUCGAUGAAAACCACGAUGAAUCUAUCUAGAUCAUGAACACCUUAUUCUUCAGAUCCAUAAAAUAGGCUGGUGCAUUUAGUUAGUCCAAAUGACAUAACAGUGAACUCAUAUAAUCCAUAUCGGGUCAAGAAAUCUGUCUUGGAAAUAUCUGAUGGCCUAAUCUUCAUUUGAUGGUAACUCGAUCAGAGAUGAAUCUUCGAGAAUACCCUAGCAUCUCUCAUCCAAUCAAAUAAAUCCUCAAUGCGGGGUAACAGGUACUUGUUCUUCGCGGUAACAUCAUUAAGGAACCUAUAAUCCACGCACAUCCCUUGCGAUCCUUCUUCCUUCUGUACAAAUAGAACCGGCGCUCCACAAGGUGAAGAUUUCGAACGAAUGUACACAACCUCUUGUAAUUCCGUUAAUUGCUUCUUAAGUUCCUUUAGUUCUUCUAUGGACAUCUCGUAUAGCCGUUUAGAAAUAGGAGCAGUCUCAGGUAAGAGAUCAAUGACAAACUCAACUUCUCUAUCUGGUGGCAGCCCUGGUAACUCUUCUGGGAAGACAUCCGGAAAAUCUCUAACCACACGGAUGUUGUUACCAACAAAUUUCCCAUUUACUAAGAAUGUCGCUAGUCUGGUGGUGGUAGUUACUGCAAUUCCAACUUCAAAUAUUUCUCCUUUGGAACUGGUGAGUUCUAUGGUUCCUUUAGCACAGUGUAUAAACUGCCUUUGCCUUUCUUAACCAUGACAUACCAAGGAUCACAUCUAUAGUGCUCUCUUCUAACACUAUAGGGGUAGUCCAUCUAGGUUAGAAAUACAGGGUAAGAAAGGAAGAAUUGUAGACAAGGUGAGUAAUUACGAGAAAUGUUACUUUGGGGGAUUUAUUAGCUGAGUGUGUCGCAUACUAAAGCUAAUUCAUUACCUUAUAGUGGUACAUGCUAAGAUGCCCGUCUAUACUAUUUCAAUCAAUCAAAGAAGCAAAUCAGGCAUUGAUCAACAGAACAAUCAACCAACAUUUUUAAUAGAGAAAAUAAUUUUUAAUUUCUUUUUUUUAGGUCUCCUAUCUCUUAAAAAGGUUAUAAAUGUAGGAUUCCAAGGUGUGAAAUCCUUCUUGUCUUAGAGUAGAAAAGAUAAGAAUAAUCAGAGUAGAGUAGCAAAAGGUGAGACAGGUUCAAGAUAAGGUAAGUAUGGAAUGAAUCAGAGUAAGGUAAGUAUAGAAUGAAUCACAAGAAGGUAAGUAGGGAAGGGUUUUGUCCAUUUCUAUCUAGGUUUCGUCCUACAGUCAACAUUUCCUCUGAUACCACUUCUGUCACACCCGGUUUUAAGGGACAAAGCCGGAUGCAUCUCAUACAUGCGCCAAGAAGACAACAUAUAUAAUAACAGAGUGUAUAGAGAUAAAUGUCAUAAAUCAUCAGAGUAUUUAUUACAUAGCGGAAGACUUAUUACAAAAUAAAAGAUAAAUAUAAAACGAACUAAGGAUCGUCGGCGCCAAUGUCGACUGAGAAACGCCACCUAGAUCAAAUCGAACUCCUCGCUUUGUGGCUCCUCCUGAACCACCUGUUCUUCUCCUGUGGGGGGGUGUGAGACAGCAAGAGUGAGCUCACAUACGUUCAUAGCUCAACAAGUCGUGGAGAAUAAUGUGGCACGAACUCACCAAAGGUGGGAGUUCAUGAAGUGUAAGGCUGAUCAAAGAAAUAAAGGUUGAGGCUGAGCAUUGCUUUUAUAAGUUGGUCAAAAUUUUAUUAGCAAUUACUAAGUGUAAGUAAAUACCAAACCUUAAUAAUAAUAAAGAAAAGUAAUAGUAAAAUAAUCCCAAAUGUGAUGCAAAUGUCAAAUUAAAUUUAAGUUCCAUAAUUAAUCAUGUGAGGGUCCGAGCCGCUCAUGACCGUGAGCACGGCUAGUAUACUAGUUUUACACUCUGCAGAGGUUGCACAUCUUUACCCACAAGUCAUGUUACCCAUCUGCCAAGAGAUGGCCAAUCCCAUACACCUCUACCGAGGAGGCGAGGCAGGGUAACACUACGAGGCCUUUACAAAGUUCCACUAGCUUCAGAAAUCCCGCUACAGUUUAUAGGAAGCUCCAAUGCAGGGUUCUUGCCUGACCGCCAUCGCAGCAAAAUCAACCAAAGGACCUCCCUACACUGACCACUCCCCUACUGCCCUUGCCCCUUUCAGGUAAGGAAGACCUCCACUAGCUUUCCUAGUUAAUCAGCCAAGGGCGUCCCAUUAUACCCUUGUGGUAGCACUGUUUUCCCGGGUGGUCGCUCCAUGUUCCCAUUAACAUAAUGAUCUUAACAUGAACAGUAAUAAUAAAAUAGAAUAAAAGAGUAAUUAUGAAUAAAGUAUCUUCAUACCCAAAUCCACAUAAAGCAAUAGCAGGUACUACCCAAAGAAAUAUUUCAUUGGUAAACAAGGUAUAAAGAUAGCCAAAACUAGGGUAACCUAUUGGGUCCCAUCAAAAUUAUCCUAUGCAGAUCAUUAUAAUUAAUAAGAACAUGGCUGGGAAAAAGUAAGUGAUCAAGGGCACAACUUGCCUUCAAUGAGCUCCUGCUCAGCUACCUCUACUUGUUGAACCUCAGUUUCCACAGUGGCUUGCUCGUCUACUCGCAUCAACACAAUACAUACAUAGUAUAGCCAAAAUCAACAUCACACCAAACAGAUGAAUAAAAUAUACAGUAAAAAUCUACACAUUAAAAUGAAAUCAUAGGAACUGGAAUCACUAAAUUUGGAGUUAUAUAUUUCAAGUUAUGAAUUUCCUAAGGUUUAAUGUGAUUAAAAUAGGAUUAGAUGAGAAAUUAUUUUUCUUACUGUUUUCAUGUCAAAACAGAGACACUAAAUGAUAGAGAAUAAAAUUACAAAAUUUUAGGAACUGGAAUGGUUCAAUUUGGAGCUAAAAUGAAUUUUCUAUGCAUUUUACAAGUUCUAACAUUCAUUUGGGCAUUAAAACUAAUUUCUGAUAUAAAUUUCUGAUUUUUAAUACCCUCUGGAUUAGGCCACGUUUUCUGAAAAGUAUAGGGGCGCCUAGGUAAAAAUCCCGAGUCACAGAGAACAGUAUAGGGUAGACUGCGGGUUGAAUAGUUAUUAACCUAGGGUCUCUUUAGAAAUUAUGCCGCGCGAAGGGGUAUCUUGUGUUUUCAGCCGUCCGAUCUAGAGUCUAGGGUUUAGAUUUUAUGAAGCCUAACGCAUUACGAACCGUUCGAUUAAACCUACGGCCCGGAUUGACUCAUCCAGGAGGUAUCCCCGAUUAGAUCUGCACCGCAUAUCAACGAUCUCACGGACAUCUUUCGCCCAACCCAUCUUCUAAUCUCGACCAGUCAUCUGAGUAUCUACGGCGACAACAUCGUCUUCCACCCAACAGCCCAGACGCCGUCUUCCUCCCUCGUGCUCGCACUCUACGGCGGCGGCCCAGCCGAUCCCCUACGGCUGAACACCAUAACCGAGCCAGCACGCAGUUCCGUGUUCGCCGUCCAAGCCCUAACUUCUACCCGGACGACCUCGUUCGAUACCCCGGUGUUCUGCGCGAUACUCGAGCGGCCCACUACAAUCUAUACCCUGACGAUACCUUGUGCGAAAAACAUAGCAGCAAGGAUAGCGGAAAAAGAACUCACCCCGCCGAGACAAGGUAGAGGCUGGGCGCAGGUGAUGCUUCACGAAAGAUCGCCGCCGAGGACCCUCCUGCAUAGAUGGUUUCGCCCCGUCCGAAGAACUCCACCGGCAGUCUUCUAAUCCCGCGAGCAAUGGAGGCGCGCCC